AAAGGCCGGAAUGGAUUUAAAGAGCUUGCUCUUAUGAAGUUAGCGGCGGACGGGUGAGUAACACGUGGGUAACCUGCCCAUAAGACUGGGAUAACUCCGGGAAACCGGGGCUAAUACCGGAUAACAUUUUGAACCGCAUGGUUCGAAAUUGAAAGGCGGCUUCGGCUGUCACUUAUGGAUGGACCCGCGUCGCAUUAGCUAGUUGGUGAGGUAACGGCUCACCAAGGCAACGAUGCGUAGCCGACCUGAGAGGGUGAUCGGCCACACUGGGACUGAGACACGGCCCUGACUCCUACGGGAGGCAGCAUUAGGG
Molecule: ribosomal RNA, 313 nt
Filed under: Bacillus cereus
Lineage: Bacteria; Bacillati; Bacillota; Bacilli; Caryophanales; Bacillaceae
Description: bacterial SSU rRNA
Rfam family: Bacterial small subunit ribosomal RNA
Source: RNAcentral